Theobroma cacao (cacao) is the source of this 316-nucleotide non-coding RNA. The record is from RefSeq and is a predicted model, not a curated record. NCBI's taxonomy places the organism in Eukaryota, Viridiplantae, Streptophyta, Magnoliopsida, Malvales, Malvaceae.
UCAGAAGAGAAGAGCAACCAAGGAAGAACAAACCCUAGGUGAGAAAAAUCAAAGAGAAAGUGUUAGAAUUCAAGGAUUUGAUCAAGUAAAGGUGGUUAACCAUUGGAUACGGGGUAAAGCACUGUACCCGCGAACUGAAAAUAGGAAUAUUUCUACUCCUAAUACUGCUCAGGACAGUUUGUUGAUAGUUGAUUAAGACGAGAAUUAAUCUCGGAGUUGAAUCCUAAAAAGUAAGGGUUCAUAGGCCUACACCUUCUUGGUCAGUUGGGAACCCACGUGUCACUGUAAAAGUAAUUUUAUACUUCAGUUAUCUGAU